GGAAGCUGCCGCCCCAAACACCGCCCUGGAAAGUAAAGAAUGCUCCAGAUAUCCGCCGUAGGGUGGGAACCGCUUACUCUUCACACAGUCGUGUGUGAAUGAGUGGGCGUCAGGAAAUGAAACGAAACAUUAUAUCUACAGAUGCAGACAAUAUGAAUGUAAAAGAAAUUGUUGAAGGUAAAGGAAAAAAUGUAAUGUAAUGAGUGUAAGAAGUUAUUAAAGAAACAGAAAUAUAUUGUAGGUGUAACAAGAAAAAAGAAAAUAUGAGUGUAAAAGGAAAAUAUUGAGUGAAAAGGGAAAAUGUGAAUGUUACAGGAAAAUAUUGUGAGUGAAAAUAGAAAAUAUGAGUUAUAGGUAAAUAUGAGUGAAAAGGAAAAAUAUGAGUUAUAAGAAAAUAUUGUGAGUGAAAAAGGAAAAUAUUAGUUAUAGAAAAUUAUUGUGAGUGAAAAAGGAAAUUAUGAGUGUUAUAGGAAAAUAUGAGUGAAAAAGGAAAAUAUUAGUUAUACAAAAUUAUCGUUAGUGAAAAAGGAAAAUAUGAGUGUUAUAGGAAAAUGUUGUGAGUGAAAAAGGAAAAUAUGAAUG
Long non-coding RNA from Penaeus indicus, 582 nucleotides. RefSeq lists it as uncharacterized. Lineage: Eukaryota; Metazoa; Arthropoda; Malacostraca; Decapoda; Penaeidae. The transcript has 2 exons. The record is from RefSeq and is a predicted model, not a curated record.